Hyaena hyaena (striped hyena) is the source of this 321-nucleotide long non-coding RNA. RefSeq lists it as uncharacterized. Lineage: Eukaryota; Metazoa; Chordata; Mammalia; Carnivora; Hyaenidae. The record is from RefSeq and is a predicted model, not a curated record. The transcript has 2 exons.
AAAGGCAGGCUGGGAGACUGGUCACUGCAACGCGAACUGACAGAAGAGAGGGCUCUGCACAGGCAGCUUUGGGAUCAGACAUUGUAGAUGAGCACGGCAGUGAACUUGGCUAUGUGAAAAAAUAUGGAAGAAGGGCUUUCCAGGCAGAGGCUAUACUUAUUUCCGAGAAUGGGGAUUUGAAAGAGCCUGGCAUAUGUGGAGAAUACGGCAAGAUGACCUUCAACAGAAAUCACUGUUUUUUAACUCAAGACAAGGACAGGCUGUCUCUGCACAUAUCGACCUUAGUAGUAGAGAAAUAAAGUUCUUUGCUAAGACACUGAA